GCCUCGUUGGCGCAGUUAGGCAGCGCGUCAGUCUCAUAAUCUGAAGGUUGUGAGUUCGAUCAUCACACGGGGCA
This is a non-coding RNA of Carassius carassius (crucian carp), 74 nucleotides long. The record is from the annotation of a RefSeq genome assembly. Lineage: Eukaryota; Metazoa; Chordata; Actinopteri; Cypriniformes; Cyprinidae.